UUUCUCUGGGAAAUUCAAACAAACAAAAAAUAAUAAUAAAAUAAAAGGGAAGAAACAAAAAAUAAAACAGCAAACUUCAGAAAUUCCCUCCAGAAGGGAUUUUUUUUUUAAAGGUAACAAUUAUAAAACUAUCAAAAAUGUCUCUCUUCAAGGCUUUCAGGAGGAAGAAUUGCUGGAGAAGUACAGACUCCGAUACCCACGAGUCACUUCUCCUAUUCCUACUGUGGGACCCCAUCCUGCCCUUGAACCCUGGCAGCCUGUGGCCAUGAGUUUUUUUUGCUCACAUUCCAAGUCUGGGAAAACUGAAGCUUUUUCAGCCCACAGUUUUAAUGACUGCUCAGCUUAUCAGAGAGAAUGGAGAGGGUGACCUGGCAGGAAAGCAGCUGGUGCCCUGCUGGAUCCCCUGCAAGGAACUGGAAAAACAUCUUCCCCCAUGGAAAGGUCUGGUUUGUCUUGAUCUUAGAGUCCACCCCCAGAAGCGGUUCUCCACCUUACAGACAAGGCUCCAGCACCGCCCACCUCUACAGCCUUCACCUGACUGCAAAACCUUCACCCCUGCAAAACCAUGGGUAUUGGGUUCCUGGGCCUCACACACCAACACCAAGGUUAAAUCCAUUAAUACUGGGAGGUCUAAUCAGAAUGCAUGAUGUGCUACACAAAUGGCCAGGCUUGAAUAAUUUGUCAACAUAUUUGUCAUUUCUCAUCUUUUUAAACAUGCUGCACGUUCAGGCAUUUGAAUUCUAGCCUGGUGGUCUAAGAAGUGGUCAUAUAUAAGAGAUGAAAUUUUGAAGAAAAGAGGUAGGUCAAGAAGGUUGAAUUCAUUUUAAAGAAUAAUAUAGUUUCCACAACAAUAUAUCUCCUGUAAUUUACUGUCUCGAUUCCCAUAAUGCUCCCAUAUCCCUUUUUCUUUCUGCAGUUCCAGUUCACUGAAGAAUUCAAACACAUGCUUUGAUUGACAGUGCAAAUGGUAAUAUUUUUUGCCUUCAUUGUAAACCUAUUAUUUAAUUUAUCUGUUAGAGUUUUAUUCUUUUUUUAACAGAGUACUAGUGACUAUAAAGUUUAAUUGACCUUUUCGCCAAUAAAUACAUCAUUGCUGGUUUCA
RNAcentral lists this long non-coding RNA (1102 nucleotides) under Anas platyrhynchos platyrhynchos (common mallard). Its description in RNAcentral is "lncRNA (ENSAPLG00000017675.1)". Lineage: Eukaryota; Metazoa; Chordata; Aves; Anseriformes; Anatidae. The record is from RNAcentral.